Molecule: long non-coding RNA, 2505 nt
Filed under: Callithrix jacchus (white-tufted-ear marmoset)
Lineage: Eukaryota; Metazoa; Chordata; Mammalia; Primates; Cebidae
Description: lncRNA (ENSCJAG00000074611.1)
Source: RNAcentral
AUGAUGCAUGCAGAGAGGCCUGCAAGGGUGUGGGUGGGAGGGCCGUGCUGGGUGCGGAGAGCAGAGGGGAUGGCAAGGCGCAGCUGUGUGGGGGGCCCCUCUGCCUCCCCCCAGGCGCGGCAUUACUCUCCUUCUGCAGAGCCUUUGUGGCGCAUGAGGAAGGCGAGCUUUCAUGCGCAUCCUGGGAUCAGAGACCCUCGAGCACUCCUGGGACUGCGUCUGGGUGUGAAUGAAGUGUGCCUUCGAGUGCAUAUUGUGUGGAGUUGGCAGCUCUACCGCGUGUGUGACUCAGAAAGGAAAACCUGCUUCUCGGUAAGCAGCCCGACAUGUGGCACACAUGCACAAAGAAUUCACACACGGAUGAGAGGAGGCUGUACACGCAGAUCGUUUUCACAUGAUCCGUGCAGACGUCCUCAUGCACCCCUUUGUAUUUAGGAGGUGAUUUCACAUUUCCAGAGUCCUUUUGCAGUAGUCUCCAUUGCAGUGAAACAAGUACAGGAAGAGGAACAAGGGGAGCGUAAUCAUGAGGAUAACUCUUCCAUCCCUGUCCCAGUGAGAUGAUCCAUCUACUGUUGACUCAGAGUUCAUUCACCUCCGUUUCCAACUUUCCUUCUUGCUAGUUUCAGGCUGUCAAUAGUCGAUUUAAAAUUUAUCUCAGAAGUUCCAAAAAAAAAUCUGGGGUGAUCUACCCAGGGCAUCUGAGGCUUUCCAUGGCAAAAACGCAUGUGGGGGGUACGAUUCCAGUGCCAGGCCUGCUGACUCCUUCAGACACCAGAAUUCAUUAAAUAUUUUAAAAUAACAGAAAAAGAAUGCUUAUGGUAAAAGUCUGUUAAGCACUGAUGUUUGUUAGACCAAGAAGGGCUUUCCCAAGAAUAACACAGAGCAGCCUCAUGGCGGAGGAGAGAGAUCCAGGCAAGGCUGCUCCUGCUGGCCUUGUGGUUAAUCUUUUGUUCAUGAGUCUGAGGGUGAAGGUUCCGAUGGCUUUGCUUUCUGAAGAACAGACAUAGUGUACUAAGACUUUUGUUUUACUGCUGUGUUUUUUACAGGGAACGAGGACACCGUGUAGACUGUGGAGCCUGUAAAAUUCCAAACUGCGUUUGGCAGCAUGCAAUCCUGAAGACGGGAGCGCGACCUUUCUUCAUCCCGGGGGACGUCCUACAGCUUGUGAUGAUUUAUGUAGCUGGGGUCUGCAGUACCAAUGUAAAGGACUGUGCCCACUCUGAAGCCCCUCUGUAGCUCGAGGUUUGGCCUGUGAGGGGACAGCCUGCGACCAGCUGUGGACUCAGUUCUCCAAGGCCCCCGAGCAGGUGGUUUGAAUUCUAAUGACAGGUGUUAUCUACUUCCUGUGUCAAGGACAGCAAGCUUGCUCUCUCUUGCACAGAUACUGGAACCAAAAUAUUUCUUUUUAAGGAAAACUUUUCAAAGCCAAGCAGAUUUAUUUCUACCACAAUGUGGAGGCUAAUUCCCUGUGUGGUGUUUGUUACAGUCUUAAUUACACAAUAUCAAAAGUGCUAGCUCUGCACCUCACAAUGCGCCUGUGGAAUCACUUGAUUUGUUUUGGCCCAACUCUUCUCGCUUGCUCAAUAAUAUGAAUCUUGGCAAAGAAAAGGGAGCCAGAGUCCAAGUCCUUAUGACUUGGAGUUUGCAACCCAAGGAUAAGUGAGGGCUGUGUGUGUGUGCACGUGUGUGCAUGUGUACAUAUGCACGUGUGUGGGCAUGUGAGUACAUGCCCGCUCACUCGCUGCCUUUCCAACAGCUCUGGAAGUUGGGUUACAAAAAUGUUGAAUUUGUAUAUAUUGGGGAGGAAAAGGAAAGGGACGAGAUGGUGAAGGAAGGACCAGGUGUCUACACUGGCUGCAGAUGGUGCUUGCCUAGGGCUGUAGCUAAAGCGACCCCGAGCCCAGGCAGAAGUGAGCACCAGCUUGACAAGGAGCACCCUGGGACAGGGUGGGAAGAGCAGGGCCCACACCCUCUGGUGUCCUUCUGUACUCUUGUAAUCAGCUCUUUGCUGCUCUUGUCACCUGCUGAACGCUCUGGUGUUUGACACCAAUAGGGGCAGGAUGACCACUGGUCCUAUAGAGGUUUCAGGAGCAUUUGCGCUAAGAACCAGGGGAUAUCAGAUGACAGGCAGCUCCAGAGCGAUGCUGUGGAUGGCACCCGCUCCUGCAGUGGAAUGUCAGAGGUUCUCAUCCAGAACCGACCUUCAUCAAGGAUGUGACACUGCAGGACUCCCCAGGGAGAGUCUGACAGGGCGUAUACAUGUGUGAGAAUUGAGGGUUUUUUUUUGGUUGAUUCAAGUUAUUAAACAAUUUUUUACUAGCUGGACUGUUUGCACAUUCCAAAGUAUGUUGGAGGGAACAAAAUAACUUCCGGAGAACUGAGAUUGGGUGCCAAACUCUUACAAGGGGAAAUGCACAGGGGUUUCUGGAAGACCGUUCUGAAAGUGAUUCUGUAGCAACUAGUUCAGAAACUACUUUUAAACAGAAAGAAAUACGUAUGCAGAAA